UACGAAGGGGGCUAGCGUUGCUCGGAAUCACUGGGCGUAAAGGUUGCGUAGGCGGGUCUUUAAGCCAGGGGUGAAAUCCUGGAGCUCAACUCCAGAACUGCCUUUGAUACUGAAGAUCUUGAGUUCGGGAGAGGUGAGUGGAACUGCGAGUGUAGAGGUGAAAUUCGUAGAUAUUCGCAAGAACACCAGUGGCGAAGGCGGCUCACUGGCCCGAUACUGACGCUGAGGCACGAAAGCGUGGGGAGCAAACAGG
RNAcentral lists this ribosomal RNA (253 nucleotides) under uncultured bacterium. Its description in RNAcentral is "partial 16S ribosomal RNA". It matches the Rfam family "Bacterial small subunit ribosomal RNA", at positions 524 to 776 of the family's 1533-position model. The record is from RNAcentral.